This 217-nucleotide ribosomal RNA is filed under the name uncultured bacterium. Its description in RNAcentral is "partial 16S ribosomal RNA". It matches the Rfam family "Bacterial small subunit ribosomal RNA", at positions 1284 to 1500 of the family's 1533-position model. The record is from RNAcentral.
GUACUCAGUUCGGAUUGAAGGCUGAAAUUCGCCUUCAUGAAGCUGGAAUUGCUAGUAAUGGCAGGUCAGCAUACUGCCGUGAAUACGUUCCCGGGCCUUGUACACACCGCCCGUCACACCAUGAGAGUUGGGAAUACCCGAAGCCUGUGAGCUAACUGUAAGGAGGCAGCAGUCGAAGGUAGAGCCAAUGAUUGGGGUGAAGUCGUAACAAGGUAGC